RNAcentral lists this long non-coding RNA (6146 nucleotides) under Nicotiana tabacum (common tobacco). RNAcentral's name for it is "long non-coding RNA (NTAB_LNC007526)". The record is from RNAcentral. Lineage: Eukaryota; Viridiplantae; Streptophyta; Magnoliopsida; Solanales; Solanaceae.
AAAAUUAGAAUCCCUCGCAUUUUGCACCCCUAAUGUGCAUCUUUUUUGUGAUUUGCACCCUGUCCUAUGUUUUUUUACAAUUUCAACCCUAACCUCUUUAUUCCCUUGCAAAACAAUAAAACCACCAUUUAUAUAAAUUUUUCAUGAGGGCAAAAUAGGAAAUGCAAAUAAAAAAUAAAUAAAAUAAUGACAUAAAAUAAAUAAAGAGAGAUUAAAUAAAAAGGAGUUGGUUUGGUUACCAAAAAGCAAAGACCAGUCAAUAGUCAUACUAAUCUUCUCUUUGCUUCAUCACCUAGAGCAUAUCGACAAGCUCAAGACCAAAGCAAAUGAUCAGUCACAAUUAUCUUCUCUUUCCUUUCACCUCGCCUAAAAUGGACAAGCUCAAUAAAUCAGUCAUUUUCUCAAGGGACCAAGAUGUAUUUCCAUAUCUCUUUAACAGAAAUGGUGUUAAGAUUUAUGCAUCUCGUCGAUCUUUAUAAGCUUAAUCUUCCAAAACGCCCCAUAUUUUCUCUGAUUUCACCUUGUUAAAGCCUUCGCCGUUUACUUCUUCACGUCGUUCCUGGUGGAUCCAUUUCGGAGGUCAGUUUUUCUAUAUUCAGCUAGUUCGUCUUUUUUACUGUCUAUUCUUUUGCAAAAAAAUAAAAUAAAAUUGGGACAGUCAUCAGAGAAUCUCUGUUUUGUAUUGAAAGAUAAAUAUAGCCCAGUAGUUUGAGAUUGAUGCUAGUAUUUUUCGAAAUGUAAAUGUAUAUGUAUAUGAGCUCGUGUGUAAUGUAGUUUUUGCUAAUCGCUAUUACUUAAUAUAGCACUAUUCUUUAUUGCUGUAAAUUCUUGUGUAAUGAUCGUGUUCCUCUCUGAUUGAGAUGAAAAUAGGAUAAGGGUGUAUAUAGUUAAGCAAUAAAGAUAAGUCAAAAGGCUUCGAAGAGUACAAAUACUAAAAUUAAAUUGUAAAGGUAAAUGAUAAACUUGACAUUGAGAAUCUCUUAGGAAUAAAUGAUAUAUCCAUUAAAUAGCAAAAGAAGUCGUGAUGAAAUUAAAUUUGUUCUUGCUGACAAUUUCAUAUGCUAAUUGCUUCUAUUUUCUUCCACAUCAAAACUCUUUUUCUUGGCUUCUAUUUGAAUCAUCCUCCGUUGGCCUUCUUGGCUGUGAAAAAAAAUAAAGAACGCAAAUGUACUACCUAUCUCUAAAAGUACUAAAUCACUUAUAUUUAAGGUCCCAUACUUACAUUGAGUUUAGAAGGUUCAUUUAUAUGUCCAGUCCAAUAAGUGGACUCAAAAUUGAUUUGUUUACUUGGGUGGGAUUGACUUGUCGCAUUUUGACACCAAUCUUGAGUUGUUUGAGUAGCUUGAGGUAGAGUUGUUGAAUUUGGGGAAUUACUACUCUUCUUGCAAGUUGUUUUGUUGUGACCAGUUUGUAAGCACUUGCUACACCUCCCCAACUUCCCUUUCUUACUCAAUUUGGUAGCAUCAUGCAUUUCACUUGUUGCAAUUUGUUUUUUCUUUUUCUCUCUUCUCUGUUUUUUCAUCUCAACUGCUUUUCUCUUGGAGGCUUCAAUUUCAUCGGGCUUUUUUCUUUUAUUUUUGUUUAACUUACUUUUCUUUGGCUCAUAAUUAGGAGGGUUAACGUCAAGUAGAUCAGUAGGUUCCCACAUGUCAUCUGAAUCAUACUUAGGAGAGAUGUUAUCAUUUUCAGAUUCUGUACUUGAGUCCUCCAGUAGUAACCCGGCAAAAUUGGCACUCUUAGUUUUCUCCAUCACUUUAUCUUUCUUUUUUUCCUUCCUCUCUUUCCUCCCCUUUACACUAACUUCGCCAUUUCCUGCUAGAUUUUUCUUUUUAUCCUCGCUUCCUUUCAUUAUUUCCUUUUCUUUCGGCUUCAUUGUUGCCUUAUCCUUUCCAAUAUUAUCCCAAAUUCCAAGCCAUUCACUGCCUGAAUCUAUCUCCAAACCAUUCGACUCUUCUUCACUUUCAUUUAUAUGAUAUUCAUCACCUUCAAAAUGCUCCAAUUCUUGGUAUACAUCACUAUUUUUAUCCCCACCAUAAUUUGCUCUUUCCAAUUUGAAGUCAUCUACGUUAGUACUUACCUCUGCAGAGUUGAAGAUAUGAUUAUAUGCACCAUCCUUCGAUGCCUCCAAGUCUAUUAGCACCCCAUUAUCCUCACAAAUAUAAUUAGCAUUGGGGCUCACUUGAUUUUGUAUUUUUGAUACAUUACCAGCAUGUGUAAUGUAUACUUCAGCAACUCUAUUAGCUGGAAGUGUUUUUACCAUUAGAUCACAAUCAACAUUAGUCAAGCAUUGAAUAUAACCAUUACCAGUAUUAGUCAUGGGUAGUUUAAAGUGCCAACCAAGAAUAUUGUUGUAUCCUAAUCUCGUUGUUCCAAUCCAUUCUAAGGUUUGCAAUGACCAUUUAUGUGGAUCACACUUAUCAAUAAAAUCUAUUUUGCCUCCCAAAUAAAUUCUCUCAGGUACAUCUAAAAAUUCACCUCCAUGAUGAAUCUUCAAUGUAAAAAGCUCAUCAUCCAUACCUGUGACAAUGCAAGGUUUAAGCUAGCUCAAUUUCUAGAUUAGAUAAAAAAGAAUAUAGACUGAAGAACUACUUUUGACACAAGGUAACAUCGCUUGUUUUUAGUAAAUCUGAAUAGCAUAAUUCCAUUAAAUAUCAAGUCUUGAACAAGGAUAUUGUUUUUCUGCAGAAUGCACUUGUUGAAGCACAUGAGGGAUCACAUAGGAGAGUUGGCAAAGAAAGAUAGAGGAAUGAUAUUUGAUGCCUUGGGGAUUGAUGUCCAAUUUGUUCCAAACAGAGGAUAUUAUUUAUUCAUGGUUUAGAUUAGCCUAUUUUUUAUUAUGCUUUAUUGAAUUGGAGAGAAGCAUUCGUAGCUUUUCAAUAAAGCAUGUUUUAUCCAAAGUAGAGUAUGAACUUAAAUGAAUUGAUCUUUCUUUAUUGAUUUACAUGAUAGUAUUCAGAGUUGUUUGAAAUUUGGAUAGAUUUGCAAACCUUUCUGUCUGGUGCAUUGUUGUAGUGAGUUGAGUUUUGUGAUUUAUUUUUAAAUAAAUAAAAAAAAACAAUAGCAGAUAGAGGAUGGGACAAGAACAUGUUAAAGAUGGAUUGCAUCUUACGACUUUUACAGAUAGACUCCGAACUUGUUACCUUUCAACUUCUCCUUCUUCAAUCGACUUUUCUAUUUCUCCUUGCUCUUAUCCAUUGAUGAUAUACUGGAUGUGCUAUUUGUUCUCGGUAAUCCUUCAGCGCGUUUUAUGCUUGGAGAGCUUAACCUAGUCUCCCACGAUGCAAUGGUGAUGGCGGGAAGAGUUUCGCUAGAAUUAACGUCCUACCCUAAAAACAUAACUUAAGGAAAAAAAAAAACAUAUUAUUUGUAUUUCCUAUUUUUCCCUCAUGAAAAAUUUAUAUAAAUGGUGAUUUUAUUGUUUUGCAAGGGAAUAAAGAGGUUAGGGUUGAAAUUGUAAAAAAACAUAGGACAGGGUGCAAAUCACAAAAAAGAAUACACAUUAGGGGUGCAAAAUGCGACGGACUCAAAAAAUUAUGUAUAAGAAAAAAGUAUUGCUGUAAAUCAAUUGACAUGAACACAUACAAGUCUUUUAAAUAUUAAAAAUUAAUAUUAUUAUAUUAUAAUAAUUAAACUCAAAACAAUUAAAUAUCGUUUGAAUCUGCAAUCACCCAUUUAGUUAAAUUAGUUCGAUAGUUUUGUAUUAUAGAUUAAAAUAUGUAAUGUGUUUAGGGGUAUAUUAUAGGGUCUUAUAAUACCUAAUAUUCCUACUUAUUUAAUUUGUUGGUGAUAUUUUUUGUGCCGCUUUGACUACUCUCUCAUGACUAUAGCUAUUGUUAAGUGUUAUAUUGAUAUCUCUUGUGAACUAUUAUAAUUUCUUAUGAGAAAAUAUAUUAUAAGAAAUAUAAUCCAAAACACAGGCAUACUAAAAAAUAUUUUCGGAUGAAUUUAAAGGAUAUUAUUGAUUUCUUGUGGAAAAAGUUGAACUCGGCAUAGGUAUAUGCUUCGAAGCACAUUAGACUAACAUGAUUUCUGCAUAUACAAUGUCAUAGUCAAAACCUUUACAUAUCAUCUUUAUGAUAUUACAUAAAUAUUUGAUGGAUCUAAGUUGCCCAAUGACAUGAUGGAGCAUUUUCUUCUAGCUAACUUGUAUGUAAAAGAAAAUUAUUUUUUAGUUUGUCUAAUUUCGAACAGCUGAUGACAUUUUAAAAAAGAUUGUCUCACGUAAGCAUUAUGAAAUAUUAUUAUUUAAUCAUAUAUAAUAGCUUUCUUUUAUCUUUUGCAACUUCUUUGAGCACAUUACUCUAUUAACAGUAAUUAUUAAGUCUUUACUCUUUACACAAAAGACUCAUAAGACAGAUUCAACAAUAAUCUCAAGUGGUACCUUUCAUCUUGACCAAGUUUAGCUACAUAUUUAUUUGAAAAGGAUAACUUUUUAAAUUUUGAAAGAGAUACAACAAAAAUUUAAGUGUACAUAUUAAAUGCCUAACCACCGCUAGCAAUUAGGCCAACUACUAACCAUCCUUUUAUUUUUUCAUAUUUUCAAAUGAGGGAAGUAGACAUAACACUUUGAGAUAUUUUUGUAUGUGUAAGUUCGUACUUGAUCCUCUAUUGAGCAUGGUUAGAUUGACAUUAUAUUAGGGAUGUCAAUAUAGAUCCAUUCCAGUCCGCUUUCUAACAAUUAUGAGUAUGUGAUGUUGAUAGAUCGUAAGAAAUUUCUCCUAAAUAUUUGUAAAUACGGAAAAGGGUUAAAAAUGCUCCUAAAUUAUUGGAAAAGAUUUAAAAAUAUCUUUCAUCUAUCUAUUGGGCUAAAAAUACCCCUACAUCCACCUUUUUGGUUCACUUAUACCCUUUGACUGUUAGGUCAAUGUUGAAUUAAAAAUAAUUAUUAUAUAAAUUCCACGUAGCAACUUCUUAUUGGUCGAAAUUAAGACAUCUAACCUAUUAGAAAGACUAACCCAUAUCUAACCGUUUUUCGGACUAACCCGUCCCAAAGAUUGACCCGACUCGAAUAAAAAGUUCAACUACAAAAAAAGACAAGCCACUUCCAUCUAACUCUGAGUUAUCUAUACCCCUACUGUCAUACUUUGGAACAAAAAUACUCCUAUUUUGGAUGGAGUGCCACGUGGCAGCACCAGAUUAAAAUGACCUAUUUUUUUUUACCCGACCCGUUUUAAAAAAAAAACCCCACAACCCGACCCCCUAUUUUUUUUUUUUUACAGUUUUUACAAAUUUGUUUUCCAGUUUUUACAAAAAAAAUGCUUUAAAAAAACUAAAAAAAAAUAUUUUUCAGAAUCGAAAAUAUUUUGUUGAAUAUAUUUUUUUCAGUUUUUAGAAAACAAAAAUAUUUUGUUAAAAGCAUCUUUUUUCUGUUUUUACAAAAAAAAAAUCAGUUUUUACAAAAAAAAUUCAGUUUUUACAAUUUUUUCCUCUUUUACAAAAAAAUGCUUAAAAACUGAAAAUAUGAAAACAAAAUACGUUUUUGUAAAAACUGAAAAAAAAUAAAAAAGACUUUACUAAAUUAGUGCACGACUGGUGCAUUAGUUUUUAAAAAAAGCGAAAAUAUUUUGCAAAAUAUUUAUUUUUAAGUUCAAGAAUAAUAUUAUUCUUAAUUCAGCAUUGACCUAUCAGUCAAAGGGCAUAAGUGAACCAAAAAAGUGGAUGAAGGAAUAUUUUUAGCCCAAUAGGUGGAUGAAGGGUAUUUUUAAACCUUUUUUAAUAGUUUAGGAGCAUUUUUAACCUUUUUUCGUUGUAAAUAAAAUAGAAAAGUUUAAUACAAAAGGAGCAAUUUCAAAUGGAACAAAGAGAGAUAUAUGUAACUAGGGAGGGGUGUCAAUGGAUAUUUAAAAAUCGACUGAACCGUAUCGCAUCGAACAAAAUUUUAGGUUUCUUUUAAUAUUUAUAUAAAUCUCCGUAACAAUAAUUAGGGUAGGUUUUUUAUUUUAUGAAAAUAAACCGAAAAAAUACCGAAUCGUACCGAAUAGAUUUAUAAUAUGAACAAUAUAUUUAUAUAUUAAGUUUAAAAAUAAUAAAGCGUUAAAUUUUUUCUUGGGCCUUGGAAUUAUGAAAUAGUUACAAGCCAACAAGUAAUUAAAGUUGAAAUAGCAUGGGAUAGCCACUUUUUAACAUGAUAUUUAGUUUUUAUCCAA